GAACGCUGGCGGCGUGCCUAAUACAUGCAAGUAGAACGCUGAAGGAGGAGCUUGCUUCUCUGGAUGAGUUGCGAACGGGUGAGUAACGCGUAGGUAACCUGCCUGGUAGCGGGGGAUAACUAUUGGAAACGAUAGCUAAUACCGCAUAAGAGUAGAUGUUGCAUGACAUUUGCUUAAAAGGUGCACUUGCAUCACUACCAGAUGGACCUGCGUUGUAUUAGCUAGUUGGUGGGGUAACGGCUCACCAAGGCGACGAUACAUAGCCGACCUGAGAGGGUGAUCGGCCACACUGGGACCGAGACACGGCCCAGACUCCUACGGGAGGCAGCAGUAGGGAAUCUUCGGCAAUGGACGGAAGUCUGACCGAGCAACGCCGCGUGAGUGAAGAAGGUUUUCGGAUCGUAAAGCUCUGUUGUAAGAGAAGAACGAGUGUGAGAGUGGAAAGUUCACACUGUGACGGUAUCUUACCAGAAAGGGACGGCUAACUACGUGCCAGCAGCCGCGGUAAUACGUAGGUCCCGAGCGUUGUCCGGAUUUAUUGGGCGUAAAGCGAGCGCAGGCGGUUAGAUAAGUCUGAAGUUAAAGGCUGUGGCUUAACCAUAGUAGGCUUUGGAAACUGUUUAACUUGAGUGCAAGAGGGGAGAGUGGAACUCCAUGUGUAGCGGUGAAAUGCGUAGAUAUAUGGAGGAACACCGGUGGCGAAGGCGGCUCUCUGGUCUGUAACUGACGCUGAGGCUCGAAAGCGUGGGGAGCAAACAGGAUUAGAUACCCUGGCAGUCCACGCCGUAAACGAUGAGUGCUAAGUGUUGGAGGGUUUCCGCCCUUCAGUGCUGCAGCAAACGCAUUAAGCACUCCGCCUGGGGAGUACGACCGCAAGGUG
Molecule: ribosomal RNA, 880 nt
Filed under: uncultured bacterium
Lineage: Bacteria
Description: bacterial SSU rRNA
Rfam family: Bacterial small subunit ribosomal RNA
Source: RNAcentral